UCCUACGGGAGGCAGCAGUGGGGAAUAUUGGACAAUGGGGGAAAGCCUGAUCCAGCCAUGCCGCGUGUGUGAAGAAAGUCUUCGGGUUGUAAAGCACUUUAAGUUGGGAGGAAGGGCAGUAAGUUUAAUCCCUGGGUGUGACGUACCCACAGA
RNAcentral lists this ribosomal RNA (153 nucleotides) under Pseudomonas putida. RNAcentral's name for it is "partial 16S ribosomal RNA". It matches the Rfam family "Bacterial small subunit ribosomal RNA", at positions 337 to 485 of the family's 1533-position model. Lineage: Bacteria; Pseudomonadati; Pseudomonadota; Gammaproteobacteria; Pseudomonadales; Pseudomonadaceae. The record is from RNAcentral.